AUACGUAGGGUGCAAGCGUUAAUCGGAAUUACUGGGCGUAAAGCGUGCGCAGGCGGUUUUGUAAGACAGAGGUGAAAUCCCCGGGCUCAACCUGGGAACUGCCUUUGUGACUGCAAGGCUAGAGUACGGCAGAGGGGGAUGGAAUUCCGCGUGUAGCAGUGAAAUGCGUAGAUAUGCGGAGGAACACCGAUGGCAAAGGCAGGCCCCUGGGCCUGUACUGACGCUCAUGCACGAAAGCGUGGGGAGCAAACAGGAUUAGAUACCCUGGUAGGCCACGCCCUAAACGAUGUCAACUGGUUGUUGGGUCUGAAUUGACUCAGUAACGAAGCUAACGCGUGAAGUUGACCGCCAGGGGAGUACGGCCGCAAGGUUGAAACUCAAAUGAAUUGACGGGG
Molecule: ribosomal RNA, 395 nt
Filed under: uncultured bacterium
Lineage: Bacteria
Description: partial 16S ribosomal RNA
Rfam family: Bacterial small subunit ribosomal RNA
Source: RNAcentral